This 253-nucleotide ribosomal RNA is filed under the name uncultured bacterium. Its description in RNAcentral is "partial 16S ribosomal RNA". It matches the Rfam family "Bacterial small subunit ribosomal RNA", at positions 524 to 776 of the family's 1533-position model. The record is from RNAcentral.
UACGGAGGGUGCGAGCGUCGUCCGGAAUUACUGGGCGUAAAGCGCGCGUAGGCGGGUUACUAAGUCAGGGGUGAAAUGCCGAGGCUCAACCUCGGAACUGCCUUUGAUACUGGUAACCUGGAGUACGGAAGAGGUGAGUGGAAUUCCGAGUGUAGAGGUGAAAUUCGUAGAUAUUCGGAGGAACACCAGAAGCGAAGGCGGCUCACUGGUCCGAUACUGACGCUGAGGCGCGAAAGCGUGGGGAGCAAACAGG